RNAcentral lists this ribosomal RNA (433 nucleotides) under uncultured bacterium. Its description in RNAcentral is "partial 16S ribosomal RNA". It matches the Rfam family "Bacterial small subunit ribosomal RNA", at positions 29 to 507 of the family's 1533-position model. The record is from RNAcentral.
AACGAACGCUGGCGGCAUGCCUAACACAUGCAAGUCGAACGAGACCUUCGGGUCUAGUGGCGCACGGGUGCGUAACGCGUGGGAACCUGCCCUUAGGUUCGGAAUAACUCCCCGAAAGGGGUGCUAAUACCGGAUAAUGUCUUCGGACCAAAGAUUUAUCGCCUUUGGAUGGGCCCGCGUUGGAUUAGCUAGUUGGUAGGGUAAAAGCCUACCAAGGCGACGAUCCAUAGCUGGUCUGAGAGGAUGAUCAGCCACACUGGGACUGAGACACGGCCCAGACUCCUACGGGAGGCAGCAGUGGGGAAUAUGGGACAAUGGGCGAGAGCCUGAUCCAGCAAUGCCGCGUGAGUGAUGAAGGCCUUAGGGUUGUAAAGCUCUUUUACCCGGGAUGAUAAUGACAGUACCGGGAGAAUAAGCGCCGGCUAACUCCGUG